CCCUUAGAUGUUCUGGGCCGCACGCGCGCUACACUGAUGCAUUCAACGAGUCUAAAACCUGCUCUGAUAGGGGUGGGUAAUCUUUUGAAUGUGCAUCGUGAUUGGGAUAGAUGAUUGCAAUUUUUCAUCUUCAACGAGGAAUGCCUAGUAAACGCAAGUCAUCAGCUUGCAUUGAUUACGUCCCUGCCCUUUGUACACACCGCCCGUCGCUCCUACCGAUUGAAUGAUCCGAUGAAUAUCAUGGAUUGAGGAUGCAAGUAGGUUCGCCUAUCUUCAUCUUCGAGAAGUGAAGUAAAUCUUAUCAUUUAGAGGAAAGAGAAGUCGUAACA
Molecule: ribosomal RNA, 329 nt
Filed under: uncultured eukaryote
Lineage: Eukaryota
Description: partial 18S ribosomal RNA
Rfam family: Eukaryotic small subunit ribosomal RNA
Source: RNAcentral